Molecule: long non-coding RNA, 1587 nt
Organism: Patella vulgata (common limpet)
Lineage: Eukaryota; Metazoa; Mollusca; Gastropoda; Patellidae
Exons: 3
Source: RefSeq, a predicted model, not a curated record
AAUGCAGAACUUCCGAAAUAGUUAAAUCACUUGUAAACAGGCAUAGCUAACUUCAGCGAAUAACACUCUUUCAUAGUCACGACAGAGUGACAGGCAUCAUAGGCAACACAGCAGAAUGAUUGACGCCUACAAAUACGUUAGAAUUUCUGCUCAUAUAGCUAUUGGUAGCCCCUCCCCUUUUUGUUAUUUUGCUGGGCGCGUACUAGUCUCGGUCACCCAGAAACUCCUAGUCUUCAACAUAUUCGUAGAAUAUUUUUCUGGAUAAUAGAAACUAAUAGCCUACGUGACUCAUCACACGGCUUCAUAGUAAGCACUGCCUAAUAAUAUGUUAAGCAAUAUUCGUGCCGCGCUCGAGAUCAAGGGAAAGUGCCACCGUGGAUGAGAAUUUCUAUAUGGAUUCUUAAAAGACGUAAAAGAUAUCGUAGACAAAAUGACUGUCCAUUGAUUUAGGGUGUUAUUUACUUUUACGAUAUGUGACAUCUAUGAUUAGUUUAUUAUAGAUGAUGUCGGCUCACAUCAAUGCGAUUAAGAUGCCCGACAAAUGAGGUGGAUUAAAAUUAUGAUCAUUCUUAUUGAAUUGAUGAAUAGUCCGACAAAAGGAAAGCAAUGACUUCUGUUUAAGAUUAGAUUGAUGAAUUGUCCGACAAAGGAUUAAGUCAGUCAAUCAAGGCAGAUUAAGUAGUUAAAUCAAGGUAGGUUUAUACUAUAGACGGUAUAACACGAUAAAUACGUUGAUCACUUAAUUACCUAAUAAACCCAGCGUAUUAUCAACGAUAAUCGGGUUGAGUGGUAGUUAUACACUCAGUAAACUAUAUUAAUUUCAGAAUUUUGAAUAUUAUUCACCAUGUCUUGAUGUCCGAUUGGGCAUAUUCCCGGUCGGACAAUUUUGGGCGUUUGGAAAAAAGAUUCGGACAAGUCUGGAAUAUACAGGCAAAAUCCCAUCACUGGAUUACAUACUUGUGACUGGAAUACUUUAGAGUGAAUUUUAAAAUGAAACAUUAUCUUUGAAGAGUUGUGAAAAUUCCAGCUGGACGCGGAACAAUCUGUUGUAUUUGAUAUAGGCCUACAGUUAGUCCAGUCUAUUUUAGAGGAAUGAAGUCAAAUCAAGCAUCCACAUGGAGAAAGACGGUCUCAUUCAUGCCAUACGAUGACUAAAGGAAUAUGAUAUACAGUUGGCUACUCAAAUCAGUAAAUGGAUCGGUGACAACCUAGUGAAUAUGAAUCACUUUUUCGUUAUCUGGCACGAAGCUAAAGGUUUGAAAACAAAAUAGAUGGCAGUUGGAAAAGAAAAACACUGUGACAUCAUCAAUCUCUGGAUUUUAAGGAUAACGAACCAUCUCUUUUGGUGUGCAGUAAUCAGAGACAAAGACAAUUCAGUGCAGUUGCUUCGGAAUGAAACAUUGUUGUCAAAUUACCACAAUGAAACCAUUUCGUUUUGUAAAAGACGAGAGGAACCGUAGAUAACAAUUUUACACUCAUCUUUUUGUUUUCAUACAAAGUGAAUUAUUGUACAGGUUUACUGUUGGCUUACAAUUAUCAUUAUCAAACAAAUUCUAAAUUGGAUCUUAAAAUAAAUUACCAAACAAA